Molecule: ribosomal RNA, 465 nt
Filed under: uncultured bacterium
Lineage: Bacteria
Description: partial 16S ribosomal RNA
Rfam family: Bacterial small subunit ribosomal RNA
Source: RNAcentral
CUACGGGGUGCAGCAGUGAGGAAUAUUGCGCAAUGGGGGCAACCCUGACGCAGCGACGCCGCGUGAGUGAGGAAGGCCUUCGGGUCGUAAAGCUCUGUCAAGAGGAAAGAAGUGCAUAGCGGUUAAUACCCGUUAUGUUUGACGGUACCUCUAAAGGAAGCACCGGCUAACUCCGUGCCAGCAGCCGCGGUAAUACGGAGGGUGCAAGCGUUGUUCGGAAUCACUGGGCGUAAAGGGCGCGCAGGCGGUUUGGUAAGUCAGAUGUGAAAGCCCACGGCUUAACCGUGGAAGUGCAUUUGAAACUGUCAGACUUGAGUACCAGAGGGGAAAGUGGAAUUCCCGGUGUAGAGGUGAAAUUCGUAGAUAUCGGGAGGAAUACCGGUGGCGAAGGCGACUUUCUGGCUGAGUACUGACGCUGAGGCGCGAAAGCGUGGGGAGCAAACAGGAUUAGAUACCCGAGUAGUC